GACGAACGCUGGCGGCGUGCUUAACACAUGCAAGUCGAACGGAAAGGCCCUGCUUUUGUGGGGUGCUCGAGUGGCGAACGGGUGAGUAACACGUGAGUAACCUGCCCUUGACUUUGGGAUAACUUCAGGAAACUGGGGCUAAUACCGGAUAGGAGCUCCUGCUGCAUGGUGGGGGGUGGAAAGUUUCGGCGGUUGGGGAUGGACUCGCGGCUUAUCAGCUUGUUGGUGGGGUAGUGGCUUACCAAGGCUUUGACGGGUAGCCGGCCUGAGAGGGUGACCGGCCACAUGGGGACUGAGAUACGGCCCAGACUCCUACGGGAGGCAGCAGUGGGGAAUAUUGCACAAUGGGUGGAAGCCUGAUGCAGCAACGCCGCGUGCGGGAUGACGGCCUUCGGGUUGUAAACCGCUUUCGCCUGUGACGAAGCGUGAGUGACGGUAAUGGGUAAAGAAGCACCGGCUAACUACGUG
This 468-nucleotide ribosomal RNA is filed under the name uncultured bacterium. RNAcentral describes it as "partial 16S ribosomal RNA". It matches the Rfam family "Bacterial small subunit ribosomal RNA", at positions 28 to 507 of the family's 1533-position model. The record is from RNAcentral.